GACGAACGCUGGCGGCGUGCUUAACACAUGCAAGUCGAACGGAAAGGCCCUGCUUUUGUGGGGUGCUCGAGUGGCGAACGGGUGAGUAACACGUGAGUAACCUGCCCUUGACUUUGGGAUAACUUCAGGAAACUGGGGCUAAUACCGGAUAGGAGCUCCUGCUGCAUGGUGGGGGUUGGAAAGUUUCGGCGGUUGGGGAUGGACUCGCGGCUUAUCAGCUUGUUGGUGGGGUAGUGGCUUACCAAGGCCUUGACGGGUAGCCGGCCUGAGAGGGUGACCGGCCACAUUGGGACUGAGAUACGGCCCAGACUCCUACGGGAGGCAGCAGUGGGGAAUAUUGCACAAUGGGCGGAAGCCUGAUGGAGCAACGCCGCGUGCGGGAUGACGGCCUUCGGGUUGUAAACCGCUUUCGCCUGUGACGAAGCGUGAGUGACGGUAAUGGGUAAAGAAGCACCGGCUAACUACGUG
This 468-nucleotide ribosomal RNA is filed under the name uncultured bacterium. RNAcentral's name for it is "partial 16S ribosomal RNA". It matches the Rfam family "Bacterial small subunit ribosomal RNA", at positions 28 to 507 of the family's 1533-position model. The record is from RNAcentral.